Molecule: ribosomal RNA, 426 nt
Filed under: uncultured prokaryote
Description: bacterial SSU rRNA
Rfam family: Bacterial small subunit ribosomal RNA
Source: RNAcentral
UCGAGAAUUUUUCACAAUGGGCGAAAGCCUGAUGGAGCGACGCCGCGUGGGGGAUGAAUGGCUUCGGCCCGUAAACCCCUGUCAUUCGCGAUCAAACCUUAUUAUUUAAAAGAUGAUAAGCUGAUAGUAGCGGAAGAGGAAGGGACGGCUAACUCUGUGCCAGCAGCCGCGGUAAUACAGAGGUCCCAAGCGUUGUUCGGAUUCACUUGGCGUAAAGGGUGCGUAGGUGGUGACGUAAGUCGGAUGUGAAAGCUCGGAGCUCAACUCCGAAAUGGCAUUGGAAACUGCGUGGCUAGAGGGUCGGAGGGGGGACGGGAAUUCUCGGUGUAGCAGUGAAAUGCGUAGAUAUCGAGAGGAACACCAGUGGCGAAGGCGAGUCCCUGGACGACUCCUGACACUGAGGCACGAAAGCUAGGGGAGCAAACA